CCUACGUGUGACAGCAGUGAGGAAUAUUGGUCAAUGAGCGCGAGCCUGAACCAGCCAAGUAGCGUGAAGGAUGACUGCCCUACGGGUUGUAAACUUCUUUUAUAAAGGAAUAAAGUGAGGCACGUGUGCCUUUUUGUAUGUACUUUAUGAAUAAGGAUCGGCUAACUCCGUGCCAGCAGCCGCGGUAAUACGGAGGCUCCGAGCGUUAUCCGGAUUUAUUGGGUUUAAAGGGAGCGUAGAUGGGUUGUUAAGUCAGUUGUGAAAGUUUGCGGCUCAACCGUAAAAUUGCAAUUGAUACUGGCAGUCUUGAUUACAGUUGAGGUAGGCGGAAUUCGUGGUGUAGCGGUGAAAUGCUUAGAUAUCACGAAGAACUCCGAUUGCGAAGGCAGCUUACUAAACUGCCACUGACAUUGAUGCUCGAAAGUGUGGGUAUCAAACAGGAUUAGAUACCCUUGUAGUC
RNAcentral lists this ribosomal RNA (460 nucleotides) under uncultured bacterium. RNAcentral describes it as "partial 16S ribosomal RNA". It matches the Rfam family "Bacterial small subunit ribosomal RNA", at positions 338 to 795 of the family's 1533-position model. The record is from RNAcentral.